This 572-nucleotide ribosomal RNA is filed under the name uncultured bacterium. RNAcentral describes it as "partial 16S ribosomal RNA". It matches the Rfam family "Bacterial small subunit ribosomal RNA", at positions 355 to 918 of the family's 1533-position model. The record is from RNAcentral.
UGGGGAAUUUUGGACAAUGGGCGAAAGCCUGAUCCAGCAAUGCCGCGUGUGUGAAGAAGGCCUUCGGGUUGUAAAGCACUUUUGUCCGGAAAGAAAUCCUUGGCUCUAAUACAGUCGGGGGAUGACGGUACCGGAAGAAUAAGCACCGGCUAACUACGUGCCAGCAGCCGCGGUAAUACGUAAGGUGCAAGCGUUAAUCGGAAUUACUGGGCGUAAAGCGUGCGCAGGCGGUUUGCUAAGACCGAUGUGAAAUCCCCGGGCUCAACCUGGGAACUGCAUUGGUGACUGGCAGGCUAGAGUAUGGCAGAGGGGGGUAGAAUUCCACGUGUAGCAGUGAAAUGCGUAGAGAUGUGGAGGAAUACCGAUGGCGAAGGCAGCCCCCUGGGCCAAUACUGACGCUCAUGCACGAAAGCGUGGGGGAGCAAAACAGGAUUAGAUACCCUGGUAGUCCACGCCCUAAACGAUGUCAACUAGUUGUUGGGGAUUCAUUUCCUUAGUAACGUAGCUAACGCGUGAAGUUGACCGCCUGGGGAGUACGGUCGCAAGAUUAAAACUCAAAUGAAUUGACGGGG